Triticum dicoccoides is the source of this 3075-nucleotide RNA transcript. It is a transcript of the gene named glyoxylate/hydroxypyruvate/pyruvate reductase 2KGR-like, with no coding region annotated. The transcript has 3 exons. The record is from RefSeq and is a predicted model, not a curated record. Lineage: Eukaryota; Viridiplantae; Streptophyta; Magnoliopsida; Poales; Poaceae.
CUGCUCAGUUAUCCGUAUCCCCCGACCUCCUGCCACCAGCAUACCAGGACCUUCCCUUGGAUGCGACGCCGCUGCCGUCUGCGCCCACCGCCGCCGGGAUCCUGCCCCAUCCCAUCCCAUCCCCCACAAAGCUCCGCCACCCGCUGGGAUCCCCCCUCCCCUCCCCUCGAACGGGAGGUUCUGGCAGCGUCGGCACGUUUGCUCGGACGGGGUGGCGGCGGCCUGCUCGUCGGCUCACAGGGCUGUGGUGGCGCCCCCCUGCCGUGGUGGUGUGCCCCCCUCAUUCCUGGUGGGUGGCUGGUGGCGACGGCGGUUUGCGGGGCGGGUGUUUAGUGGCUCCGUUGCUCGACAGAUCUGGGGCCGGCCAGCAGCGCGGGGGCUAGCUGGGCCUAUGGCGGAGGGAGGCGGUCUGGUGGUGGUGCUGCUUGCCUGCUUGUUUGCCGGUGACGCAAGGAUUCUGGGGCGGCUUGGAUCGUGGCCCAUCAUGGCUGCAUGAAUUUUUUCUGCAUCUUAAGAUUGGCUCCCACCGCCGGAAGCAGCAGCUCCACCACACAACAAUGGCGCUGCGGGUGUCGCUCUCGAGCGCCAGUUCAUGGUCCCCGCGCCCAUCUACCUGUGCAGCGCGACCGCUAACAUGGGCAGCUCGAUGAGGAACACCGGCGGCGCCGGCGUGCACUCGUGGAUGGCCAGGCUCAGCCGGCCGCAGCGGUGCCCGAAGAGCGCCACCGCCGGUGCGUGGUCCGCGAGGAGGGCCCUGCUGCCGCUGUGCUGCCUGAGCAGCGCGCCCAUCUUGAGCACCACCACGGCUCGCCCCAUUCCUGGGCUCGGGCGGCGCGGACCCCCGCCGCGACGCAUCACCCCUUCCUUGGCUCCUGCGGCGUGGACGCUGGCGGCAAGCCGCGACGCGUGCCCUCUCCGACCUACCUCGCCGUCCUUCGUCCGUUCCCGCCCUCUCUAUCUCUCCCCUGUCUCUCUCUUCUCUCUCUGAACUCUCUCUAUUUUCUUCAACAGGAAGACCACCAUGCCCGCUGCAGAAGCUUCGAGCCGACCCCGCAGCAUGGAGACCGCCACCGCCCAUCCGUCGUCGGGAAUCGCCGGAUCCGGCCCCUCUCCGACCUGCCUCGCCGUCCUUCGUCCGUUCCCGAUAUCUUCCCGGCGCCAGGAGCUCAGGCGAGCGCCGCCACGAGACCCUGCCUCCUCUGCCCCGUAGCCAGCCAUGGAGGUUGUCGCCUCUCCUUCUCGAUUCGCCCGCCGCGGGAUCCACGAUGGUCUCCUCCAGGGACCCGCCAUGGAGGUUGCCGCCGGAUCCACGGCGGAGUAGCCGAGAUCCGCCGCCCGUUCCGCGGCGCCUCGGCCCGCCAAGGCCAGCGCCGAGGCCGACAAGGCGCGCAGGAAGGUCAAGGCCCUCACCAAGCAACGGGAGGACUUGCGGGCUAGGCUCGCCUACCGCAAGCGCGCCCACGAGCUCACCUCCAUGCCGGCCAAGGCCACCGCCGUGACGCCAUUUUUUUUUUAUAAUGAAUAGUUUCCCAGAUCCACUUAAUAGGGACUGCGGGUUGAUUUCGCAGAAACAGAGGGACUUUUUUGUAAAAUUGGCGACGACAUACCACCAGAAACACUCGCUGCUGCUUUAUUAGUAGGUAAAGACUUAAUUAUUACCUCCACUGUCUCCCCACCGCUAAAGAAAGAAAGAAAAAAGAGCCAUCGAUAUAGACAUGCCCGACGUUCUUUGCCUCGUGCCUCCCUCUUACACCUCACACAUCACCAAAUCUUAUCCUUCCACUGGCUCCCCACCGCUACUGGAAAAGGAGAAGAAAAAUAAAUUGCCAGCAAAAGGCCGGCGCGGACCUCCGCCACCUACCACACAACAGCCAGCUGCUGCCGUCCUCGGUGCUCCCGGCGGUCGGCGAAGGCGACCCUGGGCAUGCUGCAGCUGCUGCUCCGGAGGAACGAUUACCUGGAGCAGGAGCUCGACCUUCGCUUCCGCCUCUUCCGCUCCUGGGACUCUCCUUCGCGCCAACGCCUCCGCCAUCGGUGCCGUCGUUGGCAACGCCGAUGCCGCAUCGGCGCCGCCGUCCUUCUCCGUGGGGACCGACCGCGUAGACCUCCCAAGUGCCGGGAGCACCGAAUCCGCGUCACCAACACCCCCAACUUCCUCACCGACGACGUCGCCGGCCUCGCCAUCUCCGUGCCAAGGAAGACCACGCAGGCUGACCGUUACGUGCGCGCCGGCUUGUGGAAGGCAAGAGUGACUACGCAGCCACCACACGGGGAAGAAUUACAACUGCGUGUGGCCGGCUGGUUCAAGGGACGUUCAUGGUGGGCGCGGCGGCUCGUGUGCCGGGGUAGGCUCGUGUGCCGGGGCAGUGGCGAUCUCGCGGACGGAUAGUAGAAAAAAAAGGUGAGUUUUUUUGCUGGAAAAAAGAGAAGGUGAGGUUGUAUCUCGUUAGUUGGGUUUCCACUGUUGAUGAAAAUCAUACCUGGCCGAUCUGACGGGGCUGCCUGCAACUUCAGAACUCGAGCGGAUUGCUACAUAAUAGUCUUGUUGUAGCCUGGCCGAUCUGUGAAUAUUUGAUUGUAGGUGAAGGAGGGGCGGCCGCCCACUUGACGGUGCUGAUCAGGGCGGCGAGGGAGCCCGGCAGGGGGGCGUCGAUGUAGUGCUGGGCGGCGACGAUCCGAUGUAGGGAUCAAGGUCGCCGUGCAGGGAGGCAUCAAUGCAGUGCAGGGCUGGCGAUGAAAGGCAGGGAAAGGGGCGAGGGACACGAUUAGGUUGAGUUUCCUUUUUUGCGAGUUGGUUAGAUGGUUAGAUUACCGUGAUUUGAGGGGCUGAAGAGGUGGGACGGGGAGUUUCAUAUUUUCAUCUGGUGGAGUACGGUCAGUCUAUGUAAACUGCUAAGCGCACACCAGAUCUUGAAUAAAUCAAUGAUGGUUGUUAGAUGGGGUUGUGCGGGCUUGAUCCUGUGGUGGUGAUAUGGGCGACGAGGCUGUGGACAUUUUGUGGGGUGCACGUAAGAAAGUUUUUGUUUGAUUGUUUAAUAGUAGUGAAGAUAGAAUGGAUGAGCAUUACAAAGUGCA